UCGGAGGCGACGCUUUCUUCGGCGGCGUGUAGAGGGAGCUUUCCCGCGGAUUGGUAUGAUGGUGAUCUUUGGUGAAGAACUUCGUUGCCACAGAGAGGCCAAGAGCUGCCAUGACAGAUUCUGAAUGACAACUUUCAGCUUAGAGCUUUGAAGACGAUAGAAGCCCAGAAUAUUUCAAAGCAAUCUGUGUAUUGGAAUGAACAAUAGCAAGAUCUGUGUCUGGUGGGAAAACAUACCCAAAGAAAAUGAAGGGAUACAACAUGCAGAACUGCUGGUAGCUCUGCUGACAUGUGACAAGAGAGUCUGGAUUUUACUUUAAUAAGCAUGCUUGGGUUUAGAGGAGAGAGCCACACUCCAACUCCAAAGUAAGCUUUAACCUUUAACUAGACUGGGACUACAAAAAGACAAUUUGCAUUGUCUGCCUGUAGAA
Non-coding RNA from Myodes glareolus (Bank vole), 430 nucleotides. Lineage: Eukaryota; Metazoa; Chordata; Mammalia; Rodentia; Cricetidae. The record is from RefSeq and is a predicted model, not a curated record.